UACGUAGGGGGCGAGCGUUAUCCGGAAUUACUGGGCGUAAAGAGCUCGUAGGUGGUUUGUCGCGUUGUUCGUGAAAACUCACGGCUUAACUGUGAGCGUGCGGGCGAUACGGGCAGACUGGAGUACUGCAGGGGAGGACUGGAAUUCCUGGUGUAGCGGUGGAAUGCGCAGAUAUCAGGAGGAACACCGGUGGCGAAGGCGGGUCUCUGGGCAGUAACUGACGCUGAGGAGCGAAAGCGUGGGGAGCGAACAGG
Molecule: ribosomal RNA, 254 nt
Filed under: uncultured bacterium
Lineage: Bacteria
Description: partial 16S ribosomal RNA
Rfam family: Bacterial small subunit ribosomal RNA
Source: RNAcentral